CGCAACACUCAACUUCACAGUCGUACGCCACCGUACGUCCUGGACCGUAGUAGCCCUCCUUUCAUGAUACAGACAUGGCGUUCUUUACAAGGCAGUAAGCUCGAGUAGCCUAAACUUGAGGUCUGAGUCUGAUGCGAUGGUGCUCUGCACGCUCCCCUUUUCAUGUAGGUUUGGAGCUGAACUGGAAUUUCGACUUCCUGUGACCUGUCGAGACUCAUCUGCCUGCCCGGACUGAGGUCUUUCUUGUACGCACACACACACUCAGAGACAUGCUGAGUCGUGUUAAGGAGCCACCUCAAAGUAGAGUGGAGGCCCAGGUGUGCAGCAGUGGUUGGGGGUGGGACGGGUACAGGCAGGCCUGUGCCGGAUCCCCUGGCAGGCGGAGGUGCUCCCUGUGCUGGCUUGUUUCUCCCUCUUCCCUCUUCUACUAUGUCUGCAAGCAUAAACACAGGUCAUAGAUGUGGCUCCCUUGAAAGAUACUGUCUUCUUGCUUUCUUUCUUUCUUUCUUUCUUUCAUGUAUGGUUUAAAAAAAGUUACAAAAGUCACAAAACUAUAUAAAGUCACAAAACUAUAUACAAAGGCCACAAUAAACAGCCCUGUUAACCCCUUAAAGUGCAGGCCCAGUUAAUAACCCCU
Molecule: long non-coding RNA, 637 nt
Organism: Colossoma macropomum (tambaqui)
Lineage: Eukaryota; Metazoa; Chordata; Actinopteri; Characiformes; Serrasalmidae
Exons: 4
Source: RefSeq, a predicted model, not a curated record